GCUAACGCAUUUAAGCAUUUCCGCCUGGGGAGUACGACCGCAAGGUUGAAACUCAAAGGAAUUGACGGGGGCCCGCACAAGCGGUGGAGCAUGUGGUUUAAUUCGAAGCAACGCGAAGAACCUUACCAGGUCUUGACAUCUUUUGAUCACCUGAGAGAUCAGGUUUUUCCUUCGGGGGCAAAAUGACAGGUGGUGCAUGGUUGUCGUCAGCUCGUGUCGUGAGAUGUUGGGUUAAGUCCCGCAACGAGCGCAACCCUUAUGACUAGUUGCCAGCAUUUAGUUGGGCACUCUAGUAAGACUGCCGGUGACAAACUNGAGGAAGGUGGGGAUGACGUCAAAUCAUCAUGCCCCUUAUGACCUGGGCUACACACGUGCUACAAUGGAUGGUACAACGAGUUGCGAGACCGCGAGGUCAAGCUAAUCUCUUAAAGCCAUUCUCAGUUCGGACUGUAGGCUGCAACUCGCCUACACGAAGUCGGAAUCGCUAGUAAUCGCGGAUCAGCACGCCGCGGUGAAUACGUUCCCGGGCCUUGUACACACCGCCCGUCACACCAUGAGAGUUUGUAAC
This 568-nucleotide ribosomal RNA is filed under the name Lacticaseibacillus rhamnosus. RNAcentral's name for it is "bacterial SSU rRNA". It matches the Rfam family "Bacterial small subunit ribosomal RNA", at positions 851 to 1418 of the family's 1533-position model. The record is from RNAcentral. Lineage: Bacteria; Bacillati; Bacillota; Bacilli; Lactobacillales; Lactobacillaceae.